Molecule: ribosomal RNA, 639 nt
Filed under: Laetiporus gilbertsonii
Lineage: Eukaryota; Fungi; Basidiomycota; Agaricomycetes; Polyporales; Laetiporaceae
Description: partial large subunit ribosomal RNA
Source: RNAcentral
AAGCGGGAAAAGCUCAAAUUUAAAAUCUGGCGGAMAWAGGCCGUCCGAGUUGUAGUCUGGAGAAGCGUCUUCUACGCCGGACCGUGUACAAGUCCCUUGGAACAGGGCGUCAUAGAGGGUGAGAAUCCCGUCCAUGACACGGACCGCCGGCGGUUUGUGAUGCGCUCUCAAAGAGUCGAGUUGUUUGGGAAUGCAGCUCAAAACGGGUGGUAAAUUCCAUCUAAAGCUAAAUACUGGCGAGAGACCGAUAGCGAACAAGUACCGUGAGGGAAAGAUGAAAAGCACUUUGGAAAGAGAGUUAAACAGUACGUGAAAUUGCUGAAAGGGAAACGCUUGAAGUCAGUCGCGUCGGCCGGGGCUCAGCCUUGCAUUCGUUUGCUCGGUUUACUUCCCGGUCGACGGGCCAGCGUCGAUUUCGACCGUCGGAGAASGGUCAGGGGAAAGUGGCACCUUCGGGUGUGUUAUAGCCUUUGGUCRCAUACGACGGUUGGGAUCGAGGGACGCAGCACGCCUUUAUUGGCCGGGGCAUUCGUGCCCACGUAUCGUGCUUAGGAUGCUGGUGUAAUGGCUUUAAACGACCCGUCUUGAAACACGGACCAAGGAGUCUAACGUGCCUGCGAGUGUUUGGGUGGAAAACCC